AUUGAACGCUGGCGGCAGGCCUAACACAUGCAAGUCGAGCGGAUGAAGGGAGCUUGCUCCUGGAUUCAGCGGCGGACGGGUGAGUAAUGCCUAGGAAUCUGCCUGGUAGUGGGGGAUAACGUCCGGAAACGGGCGCUAAUACCGCAUACGUCCUGAGGGAGAAAGUGGGGGAUCUUCGGACCUCACGCUAUCAGAUGAGCCUAGGUCGGAUUAGCUAGUUGGUGGGGUAAAGGCCUACCAAGGCGACGAUCCGUAACUGGUCUGAGAGGAUGAUCAGUCACACUGGAACUGAGACACGGUCCAGACUCCUACGGGAGGCAGCAGUGGGGAAUAUUGGACAAUGGGCGAAAGCCUGAUCCAGCCAUGCCGCGUGUGUGAAGAAGGUCUUCGGAUUGUAAAGCACUUUAAGUUGGGAGGAAGGGCAGUAAGUUAAUACCUCGCCGUUUUGACGUUACCAACAGAAUAAGCACCGGCUAACUUCGUG
This 484-nucleotide ribosomal RNA is filed under the name uncultured bacterium. Its description in RNAcentral is "partial 16S ribosomal RNA". It matches the Rfam family "Bacterial small subunit ribosomal RNA", at positions 30 to 507 of the family's 1533-position model. The record is from RNAcentral.